This is a long non-coding RNA of Branchiostoma belcheri (Belcher's lancelet), 488 nucleotides long. RefSeq lists it as uncharacterized. The record is from RefSeq and is a predicted model, not a curated record. The transcript has 4 exons. Lineage: Eukaryota; Metazoa; Chordata; Leptocardii; Amphioxiformes; Branchiostomatidae.
AAGGAACUGAACAGCCUUUUUGCAGACGUUGAUUCCAAUUGGAAAUUCAACCCUAAGUCAUUAGCUGACUUCCGGAAGCAGCUGGCUAUCUUGCACACUGCGGCGAACUUCACCUUGACGAAACAGAACGCGCCGCUCAACUCAUGGAUCACGUACGCCACCUUGCGAGGCACACGUGAAGUGACGACAGAACUACACCGCAAAUUACCUGAGAAGCCGCCAGAGUUCCAGACGGGACGGUUCAGGAACUGCAGUGUUGUCGGAAGUAGCGGCAUCCUGACCGGAAGUGGGUGUGGAACUCAGAUAGACUCCACGGAGUUUGUAAUCAGGUUUAACCUCCCACCCUUGGAGGAGGGCUAUAUCCCGGAUGUUGGGCGUAAGGUGGAUCUGGUGACCUGUAACCGUUACCGACUGAAGACGCAGUAAGUUCGCAUGUUUCACACAUCGCGUUCAUGAAUACCGCAGAGAGAUAUACUUCUGGUGCUGGC